UACGUAGGGUGCGAGCGUUGUCCGGAAUUAUUGGGCGUAAAGGGCUCGUAGGCGGUUUGUCGCGUCGGGAGUGAAAACUCAGGGCUUAACCCUGAGCCUGCUUCCGAUACGGGCAGACUAGAGGUAUGCAGGGGAGAACGGAAUUCCUGGUGUAGCGGUGAAGUGCGCAGAUAUCAGGAGGAACACCGGUGGCGAAGGCGGUUCUCUGGGCAUUACCUGACGCUGAGGAGCGAAAGUGUGGGGAGCGAACAGG
This 253-nucleotide ribosomal RNA is filed under the name uncultured bacterium. Its description in RNAcentral is "partial 16S ribosomal RNA". It matches the Rfam family "Bacterial small subunit ribosomal RNA", at positions 524 to 776 of the family's 1533-position model. The record is from RNAcentral.